CCCUUAGAUGUUCUGGGCCGCACACGCGCUACACUGAAGGAGGCAGCGUGUACUCCUGGAUCGAAAGAUUUGGGUAACCCGCGAAUCUCCUACGUGCUAGGGAUUGAGGUUUGCAAUUAUCCUUCAUGAACGAGGAAUUCCCAGUAAGUGCAAGUCAUAAGCUUGCGCUGACUACGUCCCUGCCCUUUGUACACACCGCCCGUCGCUACUACCGAUUGAAUGAUUUAGUGAGGACUUCGGACUGGGACCGAUGCGGCUUUCGGGCUGCGUCGGUAUUCUGGAAAGAUGUCCAAACUGUAUCAUUUAGAGGAAGUAAAAGUCGUAACA
RNAcentral lists this ribosomal RNA (327 nucleotides) under uncultured eukaryote. RNAcentral describes it as "partial 18S ribosomal RNA". It matches the Rfam family "Eukaryotic small subunit ribosomal RNA", at positions 1470 to 1796 of the family's 1831-position model. The record is from RNAcentral.